GCCCUGGUGGUCUAGUGGUUAGGAUUCUGUGCUCUUACUACUGCAGCCUGGGUUUGUUUCCCAGUCAGAGAA
This 72-nucleotide transfer RNA is filed under the name Equus caballus (horse). It matches the Rfam family "tRNA". Rfam says of the family: Transfer RNA (tRNA) molecules are approximately 80 nucleotides in length. Lineage: Eukaryota; Metazoa; Chordata; Mammalia; Perissodactyla; Equidae. The record is from Rfam by way of RNAcentral.